This 240-nucleotide ribosomal RNA is filed under the name uncultured Lactobacillus sp. RNAcentral describes it as "partial 16S ribosomal RNA". It matches the Rfam family "Bacterial small subunit ribosomal RNA", at positions 122 to 355 of the family's 1533-position model. Lineage: Bacteria; Bacillati; Bacillota; Bacilli; Lactobacillales; Lactobacillaceae. The record is from RNAcentral.
UAACCUGCCCAAGAGAUCGGGAUAACACCUGGAAACAGAUGCUAAUACCGGAUAACAACAGAUGAUGCCUAUCAACUGUUUAAAAGAUGGUUCUGCUAUCACUCUUGGAUGGACCUGCGGUGCAUUAGCUAGUUGGUAGGGUAACGGCCUGCCAAGGCGAUGAUGCAUAGCCGAGUUGAGAGACUGAUCGGCCACAUUGGGACUGAGACACGGCCCAAACUCCUACGGGAGGCAGCAGUU